AUGGUAAAGUGGUCUGAGAUUUGUAAACCCAAGGACCAAGGUGGACUUGGCGUAAUCUCCUCGAAGCGCAUGAAUAUGGCCCUUCUCGCCAAAUGGCUUUGGCGCAUAGAGACCGGUGCCGGCGGGUGGUUGGAUAUCAUCCGUGCAAAGUAUUUGCGUGGACAACCACUCGCCUUUGCCCCCAGGGUUGGGGGAUCCCAGUUUUGGCAGUCAAUUAUUCAGCUGCUACCGGUCCUCCAGAUCGGCACCACAAUUGCGAUGGGCUCGGGAUCUAAUGCGCUAUUCUGGCUGGACCGGUGA
RNAcentral lists this ribosomal RNA (300 nucleotides) under Triticum aestivum (bread wheat). RNAcentral describes it as "partial small subunit ribosomal RNA". The record is from RNAcentral. Lineage: Eukaryota; Viridiplantae; Streptophyta; Magnoliopsida; Poales; Poaceae.